AAUGAACGCUGGCGGCAUGCCUUACACAUGCAAGUCGAACGGCAGCAUGACCUAGCUUGCUAGGUUGAUGGCGAGUGGCGAACGGGUGAGUAAUGCAUCGGAACGUGCCUUUUAGUGGGGGAUAACGUAGCGAAAGUUACGCUAAUACCGCAUAUUCUCUGAGGAGGAAAGCAGGGGACCUUCGGGCCUUGCGCUAGAAGAGCGGCCGAUGUCGGAUUAGCUAGUUGGUGAGGUAAAGGCUCACCAAGGCAACGAUCCGUAGCGGGUCUGAGAGGAUGAUCCGCCACACUGGGACUGAGACACGGCCCAGACUCCUACGGGAGGCAGCAGUGGGGAAUUUUGGACAAUGGGCGCAAGCCUGAUCCAGCCGUGCCGCGUGAGUGAAGAAGGCCUUCGGGUUGUAAAGCUCUUUCGGCUGGGAAGAAAUCGCACCCUCUAAUACAGGGUGUGGAUGACGGUACCAGCAUAAGAAGCACCGGCUAACUACGUG
This 490-nucleotide ribosomal RNA is filed under the name uncultured bacterium. Its description in RNAcentral is "partial 16S ribosomal RNA". It matches the Rfam family "Bacterial small subunit ribosomal RNA", at positions 29 to 507 of the family's 1533-position model. The record is from RNAcentral.